RNAcentral lists this ribosomal RNA (257 nucleotides) under uncultured bacterium. Its description in RNAcentral is "partial 16S ribosomal RNA". It matches the Rfam family "Bacterial small subunit ribosomal RNA", at positions 524 to 776 of the family's 1533-position model. The record is from RNAcentral.
UACAGAGACCUCAAGCGUUAUCCGGAAUCAUUGGGCGUAAAGCGUUCCGAUAGGUUGUUUUGAAAGUCUUGGGUAAAAGCCAGAAGCUUAACUUCUGCGUUUGCUUAAGAUACUGCAAAACUAGAGGGGCAAAGAGGUGUUUGGAACGAAUGGUGUAGUAGUGAAAUGCGUUGAUAUCAUUCGGAACACCGAAAGCGAAGGCAGAGCACUGGGUGCCACCUGACACUGCUAGGACGAAAGCGUGGGGAGCGAAUGGG